UACGUAGGGGGCAAGCGUUGUCCGGAUUUAUUGGGCGUAAAGCGCUCGCAGGUGGUCCGCUGCGUCGUGCGUGAAAGACCCCGGCUCAACUGGGGGAUGUCGUGCGAUACGGGCGGACUGGAGGCCAGUAGGGGGAUGCGGAAUUCCGGGUGUAGUGGUGGAAUGCGUAGAGAUCCGGAGGAACACCAGCGGCGAAGGCGGCAUCCUGGACUGGUUCUGACGCUCAUGAGCGAAAGCGUGGGGAGCGAUCCGG
RNAcentral lists this ribosomal RNA (253 nucleotides) under uncultured bacterium. Its description in RNAcentral is "partial 16S ribosomal RNA". It matches the Rfam family "Bacterial small subunit ribosomal RNA", at positions 524 to 776 of the family's 1533-position model. The record is from RNAcentral.